Molecule: ribosomal RNA, 465 nt
Filed under: uncultured bacterium
Lineage: Bacteria
Description: partial 16S ribosomal RNA
Rfam family: Bacterial small subunit ribosomal RNA
Source: RNAcentral
CCUACGGGAGGCAGCAGUAGGGAAUCUUCCACAAUGGGCGAAAGCCUGAUGGAGCAACGCCGCGUGGGUGAAGAAGGUCUUCGGAUCGUAAAACCCUGUUGUUAGAGAAGAAAGUGCGUGAGCGUAACUGUUCACGUUUCGACGGUAUCUAACCAGAAAGCCACGGCUAACUACGUGCCAGCAGCCGCGGUAAUACGUAGGUGGCAAGCGUUAUCCGGAUUUAUUGGGCGUAAAGGGAACGCAGGCGGUCUUUUAAGUCUGAUGUGAAAGCCUUCGGCUUAACCGGAGUAGUGCAUUGGAAACUGGGAGACUUGAGUGCAGGAGAGGAGAGUGGAACUCCAUGUGUAGCGGUGAAAUGCGUAGAUAUAUGGAAGAACACCAGUGGCGAAAGCGGCUUUCUGGUCUGUAACUGACGCUGAGGUUCGAAAGCGUGGGUAGCAAACAGGAUUAGAUACCCCAGUAGUC